GACGAACGCUGGCGGCGUGCUUAACACAUGCAAGUCGAACGGAAAGGCCCUGCUUGUGUGGGGUGCUCGAGUGGCGAACGGGUGAGUAACACGUGAGUAACCUGCCCGUGACUUUGGGAUAACUUCAGGAAACUGGGGCUAAUACCGGAUAGGAGCUCCUGCUGCAUGGUGGGGGUUGGAAAGUUUCGGCGGUUGGGGAUGGACUCGCGGCUUAUCAGCUUGUUGGUGGGGUAGUGGCUUACCAAGGCUUUGACGGGUAGCCGGCCUGAGAGGGUGAACGGCCACAUUGGGACUGAGAUACGGCCGAGACUCAUACGGGCGGCAGCAGGCGGGAAUAUUGCACAAUGGGCGGAAGCCUGAUGCAGCAACGCAGCGUGCGGGAUGACGGCCUUCGGGUUGUACACCGCUUUCGCCUGUGACGAAGCGUGAGUGACGGUAAUGGGUAAAGAAGCACCGGCUAACUACGUG
Molecule: ribosomal RNA, 468 nt
Filed under: uncultured bacterium
Lineage: Bacteria
Description: partial 16S ribosomal RNA
Rfam family: Bacterial small subunit ribosomal RNA
Source: RNAcentral